CAACUGGUUUCUCUUCAAAUCGAAUAAAUCUUUUGCCUUUUACUAAAGAUUUCCGUGGAGAGAAACAAAUCAGUUUAAAAUUAAUUUUUUGAAGCCUUGCCUUGGCAAGGCA
Molecule: small nuclear RNA, 112 nt
Filed under: Mandrillus leucophaeus (drill)
Lineage: Eukaryota; Metazoa; Chordata; Mammalia; Primates; Cercopithecidae
Description: U5 spliceosomal RNA (ENSMLEG00000019388.1)
Rfam family: U5 spliceosomal RNA
About the family: U5 RNA is a component of both types of known spliceosome. The precise function of this molecule is unknown, though it is known that the 5' loop is required for splice site selection and p220 binding, and that both the 3' stem-loop and the Sm site are important for Sm protein binding and cap methylation.
Source: RNAcentral